UUAAGCGACUAAGCGUACACGGUGGAUGCCCUGGCAGUCAGAGGCGAUGAAGGACGUGCUAAUCUGCGAUAAGCGUCGGUAAGGUGAUAUGAACCGUUAUAACCGGCGAUUUCCGAAUGGGGAAACCCAGUGUGAUUCGUCACACUAUCAUUAACUGAAUCCAUAGGUUAAUGAGGCGAACCGGGGGAACUGAAACAUCUAAGUACCCCGAGGAAAAGAAAUCAACCGAGAUUCCCCCAGUAGCGGCGAGCGAACGGGGAGCAGCCCAGAGCCUGAAUCAGUGUGUGUGUUAGUGGAAGCGUCUGGAAAGGCGCGCGAUACAGGGUGACAGCCCCGUACACAAAAAUGCACAUGCUGUGAGCUCGAUGAGUAGGGCGGGACACGUGGUAUCCUGUCUGAAUAUGGGGGGACCAUCCUCCAAGGCUAAAUACUCCUGACUGACCGAUAGUGAACCAGUACCGUGAGGGAAAGGCGAAAAGAACCCCGGCGAGGGGAGUGAAAAAGAACCUGAAACCGUGUACGUACAAGCAGUGGGAGCACGCUUAGGCGUGUGACUGCGUACCUUUUGUAUAAUGGGUCAGCGACUUAUAUUCUGUAGCAAGGUUAACCGAAUAGGGGAGCCGAAGGGAAACCGAGUCUUAACUGGGCGUUAAGUUGCAGGGUAUAGACCCGAAACCCGGUGAUCUAGCCAUGGGCAGGUUGAAGGUUGGGUAACACUAACUGGAGGACCGAACCGACUAAUGUUGAAAAAUUAGCGGAUGACUUGUGGCUGGGGGUGAAAGGCCAAUCAAACCGGGAGAUAGCUGGUUCUCCCCGAAAGCUAUUUAGGUAGCGCCUCGUGAAUUCAUCUCCGGGGGUAGAGCACUGUUUCGGCAAGGGGGUCAUCCCGACUUACCAACCCGAUGCAAACUGCGAAUACCGGAGAAUGUUAUCACGGGAGACACACGGCGGGUGCUAACGUCCGUCGUGAAGAGGGAAACAACCCAGACCGCCAGCUAAGGUCCCAAAGUCAUGGUUAAGUGGGAAACGAUGUGGGAAGGCCCAGACAGCCAGGAUGUUGGCUUAGAAGCAGCCAUCAUUUAAAGAAAGCGUAAUAGCUCACUGGUCGAGUCGGCCUGCGCGGAAGAUGUAACGGGGCUAAACCAUGCACCGAAGCUGCGGCAGCGACGCUUAUGCGUUGUUGGGUAGGGGAGCGUUCUGUAAGCCUGCGAAGGUGUGCUGUGAGGCAUGCUGGAGGUAUCAGAAGUGCGAAUGCUGACAUAAGUAACGAUAAAGCGGGUGAAAAGCCCGCUCGCCGGAAGACCAAGGGUUCCUGUCCAACGUUAAUCGGGGCAGGGUGAGUCGACCCCUAAGGCGAGGCCGAAAGGCGUAGUCGAUGGGAAACAGGUUAAUAUUCCUGUACUUGGUGUUACUGCGAAGGGGGGACGGAGAAGGCUAUGUUGGCCGGGCGACGGUUGUCCCGGUUUAAGCGUGUAGGCUGGUUUUCCAGGCAAAUCCGGAAAAUCAAGGCUGAGGCGUGAUGACGAGGCACUACGGUGCUGAAGCAACAAAUGCCCUGCUUCCAGGAAAAGCCUCUAAGCAUCAGGUAACAUCAAAUCGUACCCCAAACCGACACAGGUGGUCAGGUAGAGAAUACCAAGGCGCUUGAGAGAACUCGGGUGAAGGAACUAGGCAAAAUGGUGCCGUAACUUCGGGAGAAGGCACGCUGAUAUGUAGGUGAAGUCCCUCGCGGAUGGAGCUGAAAUCAGUCGAAGAUACCAGCUGGCUGCAACUGUUUAUUAAAAACACAGCACUGUGCAAACACGAAAGUGGACGUAUACGGUGUGACGCCUGCCCGGUGCCGGAAGGUUAAUUGAUGGGGUCAGCGCAAGCGAAGCUCUUGAUCGAAGCCCCGGUAAACGGCGGCCGUAACUAUAACGGUCCUAAGGUAGCGAAAUUCCUUGUCGGGUAAGUUCCGACCUGCACGAAUGGCGUAAUGAUGGCCAGGCUGUCUCCACCCGAGACUCAGUGAAAUUGAACUCGCUGUGAAGAUGCAGUGUACCCGCGGCAAGACGGAAAGACCCCGUGAACCUUUACUAUAGCUUGACACUGAACAUUGAGCCUUGAUGUGUAGGAUAGGUGGGAGGCUUUGAAGUGUGGACGCCAGUCUGCAUGGAGCCGACCUUGAAAUACCACCCUUUAAUGUUUGAUGUUCUAAC
This 2198-nucleotide ribosomal RNA is filed under the name Escherichia coli. RNAcentral describes it as "bacterial LSU rRNA". It matches the Rfam family "Bacterial large subunit ribosomal RNA", at positions 1 to 2226 of the family's 2925-position model. Lineage: Bacteria; Pseudomonadati; Pseudomonadota; Gammaproteobacteria; Enterobacterales; Enterobacteriaceae. The record is from RNAcentral.